This 233-nucleotide ribosomal RNA is filed under the name uncultured bacterium. RNAcentral's name for it is "partial 16S ribosomal RNA". It matches the Rfam family "Bacterial small subunit ribosomal RNA", at positions 96 to 334 of the family's 1533-position model. The record is from RNAcentral.
UGGCGGACGGGUGAGUAAUGUCUGGGAAACUGCCCGAUGGAGGGGGAUAAUACUGGAAACGGUAGCUAAUACCGCAUAACGUCGCUAAGACCAAGAGGGGACCUUCGGGCCUCUUGCCAUCGGAUGUGCCCAGAUGGGAUUAGCUAGUAGGUGGGGUAACGGCUCACCUAGGCGACGAUCCCUAGCUGGUCUGAGAGGAUGACCAGCCACACUGGAACUGAGACACGGUCCAG